AGGGAAUCUUCCGCAAUGGACGAAAGUCUGACGGAGCAACGCCGCGUGAGUGAUGAAGGUUUUCGGAUCGUAAAGCUCUGUUGCCAGGGAAGAACGUCCGUUAGAGUAACUGCUAACGGAGUGACGGUACCUGAGAAGAAAGCCACGGCUAACUACGUGCCAGCAGCCGCGGUAAUACGUAGGUGGCAAGCGUUGUCCGGGAUUAUUGGGCGUAAAGCGCGCGCAGGCGGCUGUUUAAGUCUGGUGUAUAAGCCUGGGGCUCAACUCCGGGUCGCACUGGAAACUGGACGGCUUGAGUGCAGAAGAGGAGAGUGGAAUUCCACGUGUAGCGGUGAAAUGCGUAGAGAUGUGGAGGAACACCAGUGGCGAAGGCGACUCUCUGGGCUGUAACUGACGCUGAGGCGCGAAAGCGUGGGGAGCAAAC
Molecule: ribosomal RNA, 424 nt
Filed under: uncultured bacterium
Lineage: Bacteria
Description: bacterial SSU rRNA
Rfam family: Bacterial small subunit ribosomal RNA
Source: RNAcentral